UACGUAGGGGGCAAGCGUUAUCCGGAUUUACUGGGUGUAAAGGGAGCGUAGACGGCGGUGCAAGCCAGAUGUGAAAACCCGGGGCUCAACCCCGGGACUGCAUUGGAAACUGCCGAACUAGAGUGUCGGAGAGGCAAGUGGAAUUCCUAGCGUAGCGGUGAAAUGCGUAGAUAUUAGGAGGAACACCAGUGGCGAAGGCGGCUUACUGGACUGUAAAUGACGCUGAGGCUCGAAAGCGUGGGGAGCAAACAGG
This 253-nucleotide ribosomal RNA is filed under the name uncultured Coprococcus sp. RNAcentral's name for it is "partial 16S ribosomal RNA". It matches the Rfam family "Bacterial small subunit ribosomal RNA", at positions 524 to 776 of the family's 1533-position model. The record is from RNAcentral. Lineage: Bacteria; Bacillati; Bacillota; Clostridia; Lachnospirales; Lachnospiraceae.